ACGGGAGGCAGCAGUGGGGAAUAUUGCACAAUGGGCGCAAGCCUGAUGCAGCCAUGCCGCGUGUAUGAAGAAGGCCUUCGGGUUGUAAAGUACUUUCAGCGGGGAGGAAGGCGAUGCGGUUAAUAACCGCGUCGAUUGACGUUACCCGCAGAAGNAGCAYCGGCUAACUCCGUGCCAGCAGCNCGCGNGUAAUACGGAGGGUGCAAGCGUUAAUCGGAAUUACUGGGCGUAAAGCGCACGCAGGCGGUCUGUUAAGUCAGAUGUGAAAUCCCCGGGCUUAACCUGGNSAACUGCAUUUGAAACUGGCAGGCUUGAGUCUUGUAGAGGGGGGUAGAAUUSCAGGUGUAGCGGUGAAAUGCGUAGAGAUCUGGAGGAAUACCGGUGGCGAAGGCGGCCCCSUGSACAAAGACUGACGCUCAGGUGCGAAAGCGUGGGNGAGCAAACAGGAUUAGAUACCCUGGUAGUCCACGCMGUAMACGAUGUCGACUUGGAGGUUGUUCCCUUGAGGAGUGGCUUCCGGAGCUAACGCGUUAAGUCGACCGCCUGGGGAGUACGGCCGCAAGGUUAAAACUCAAAUGAAUUGACGGGGGCCCGCACAAGCGGUGGAGCAUGUGGUUUAAUUCGAUGCAACGCGAAGAACCUUACCUACUCUUGACAUCCACGGAAUUUGGCAGAGAUGCCUUAGUGCCUUCGGGAACCGUGAGACAGGUGCUGCAUGGCUGUCGUCAGCUCGUGUUGUGAAAUGUUGGGUUAAGUCCCGCAACGAGCGCAACCCUUAUCCUUUGUUGCCAGCGAUUCGGUCGGGAACUCAAAGGAGACUGCCGGUGAUAAACCGGAGGAAGGUGGGGAUGACGUCAAGUCAUCAUGGCCCUUACGAGUAGGGCUACACACGUGCUACAAUGGCGCAUACAAAGAGAAGCGACCUCGCGAGAGCAAGCGGACCUCACAAAGUGCGUCGUAGUCCGGAUCGGAGUCUGCAACUCGACUCCGUGAAGUCGGAAUCGCUAGUAAUCGUGGAUCAGAAUGCCACGGUGAAUACGUUCCCGGGCCUUGUACACACCGCCCGUCACACCAUGGGAGUGGGUUGCAANAAGAAGUANGGUNAGCUU
Molecule: ribosomal RNA, 1109 nt
Filed under: Pantoea sp.
Lineage: Bacteria; Pseudomonadati; Pseudomonadota; Gammaproteobacteria; Enterobacterales; Erwiniaceae
Description: bacterial SSU rRNA
Source: RNAcentral